This 22-nucleotide microRNA is filed under the name Branchiostoma lanceolatum (amphioxus). RNAcentral's name for it is "Bla-Mir-193-P1j2_3p (mature (guide))". The record is from RNAcentral. Lineage: Eukaryota; Metazoa; Chordata; Leptocardii; Amphioxiformes; Branchiostomatidae.
UACUGGCCCGCCAAGUCCUGAU